GGAAUAUUGGACAAUGGGCGAAAGCCUGAUCCAGCAAUGCCGCGUGAGUGAUGAAGGCCUUAGGGUUGUAAAGCUCUUUUACCCGGGAUGAUAAUGACAGUACCGGGAGAAUAAGCCCUGGCUAACUCCGUGCCAGCAGCCGCGGUAAUACGGAGGGGGCUAGCGUUGUUCGGAAUUACUGGGCGUAAAGCGCACGUAGGCGGCUUUGUAAGUUAGAGGUGAAAGCCCGGAGCUCAACUCCGGAACUGCCUUUAAGACUGCAUCGCCUGAACGUUGGAGAGGUGAGUGGAAUUCCGAGUGUAGAGGUGAAAUUCGUAGAUAUUCGGAAGAACACCAGCGGCGAAGGCGACUCACUGGACAACUGUUGACGCUGAGGUGCGAAAGCGUGGGGAGCAAAC
This 398-nucleotide ribosomal RNA is filed under the name uncultured bacterium. RNAcentral's name for it is "bacterial SSU rRNA". It matches the Rfam family "Bacterial small subunit ribosomal RNA", at positions 358 to 773 of the family's 1533-position model. The record is from RNAcentral.